RNAcentral lists this ribosomal RNA (484 nucleotides) under uncultured bacterium. RNAcentral's name for it is "partial 16S ribosomal RNA". It matches the Rfam family "Bacterial small subunit ribosomal RNA", at positions 30 to 507 of the family's 1533-position model. The record is from RNAcentral.
AUUGAACGCUGGCGGCAGGCCUAGCACAUGCAAGUCGAGCGGAUGAAGGGAGCUUGCUCCUGGAUUCAGCGGCGGACGGGUGAGUAAUGCCUAGGAAUCUGCCUGGUAGUGGGGGAUAACGUCCGGAAACGGGCGCUAAUACCGCAUACGUCCUGAGGGAGAAAGUGGGGGAUCUUCGGACCUCACGCUAUCAGAUGAGCCUAGGUCGGAUUAGCUAGUUGGUGGGGUAAAGGCCUACCAAGGCGACGAUCCGUAACUGGUCUGAGAGGAUGAUCAGUCACACUGGAACUGAGACACGGUCCAGACCCCUACGGGAGGCAGCAGUGGGGAAUAUUGGACAAUGGGCGAAAGCCUGAUCCAGCCAUGCCGCGUGUGUGAAGAAGGUCUUCGGAUUGUAAAGCACUUUAAGUUGGGAGGAAGGGCAGUAAGUUAAUACCUUGCUGUUUUGACGUUACCAACAGAAUAAGCACCGGCUAACUUCGUG